CCUACGGGAGGCAGCAGUAGGGAAUAUUGCUCAAUGGGGGAAACCCUGAAGCAGCAACGCCGCGUGGAGGAUGAAGGUUUUCGGAUUGUAAACUCCUUUUGUUAGAGAAGAUAAUGACGGUAUCUAACGAAUAAGCACCGGCUAACUCCGUGCCAGCAGCCGCGGUAAUACGGAGGGUGCAAGCGUUACUCGGAAUCACUGGGCGUAAAGAGAGCGUAGGCGGGAUAGCAAGUCAGAUGUGAAAUCCUAUGGCUAAACCAUGGAACUGCAUUUAAAACUGUUAUUCUGGAGUGUGGGAGAGGUAGGUGGAAUUCUUGGUGAGGGGGUAAAAUCGGAGGAAAUAAGGAGGAAAACACAU
This 358-nucleotide ribosomal RNA is filed under the name uncultured bacterium. RNAcentral describes it as "partial 16S ribosomal RNA". It matches the Rfam family "Bacterial small subunit ribosomal RNA", at positions 338 to 713 of the family's 1533-position model. The record is from RNAcentral.